CCGUUCAGGGGUAAAACGAGUGGAACGCCAAAGAUUCGAAAGAGAGAAUUCACGUCCGAGAGAUUGUCGGUGGCCGACCGCGAUCCUACCUGGCACUGACAGGGAAGACGCGGUCUCAGCCAUGCGGAUGUACUCUCGGUCAGCAGUUUUUCUUUAGUAGGACGCCACGACCGUUCGGAGACCGAGAUCAACGGCCCGGCAGGGAAUCUGCAUGUCUUCUCCGGAAGCAGCAGACCUCCGGUGCCCUGGUCUCGGUCCGAACGUAGUACCGUGGGGAUACCCCGCGCACGGCGCGCCCCGCUCCUUAGCGCAACACUUGGUGUUCUCUGAACUGGGCUAUGAACCUACACAGAGUAAAAAACCUCGAGUUGACGACUUUGCGAGUAUGGGGCUUUAGGUGGUGGACCCCGGUCCGCGGUGC
This 421-nucleotide ribosomal RNA is filed under the name Petrobius brevistylis. Its description in RNAcentral is "partial 28S ribosomal RNA". The record is from RNAcentral. Lineage: Eukaryota; Metazoa; Arthropoda; Insecta; Archaeognatha; Machilidae.